GGCGGUUCUCAGGUGAUGCACCCUGGAAUUGGGCUCCCUCCUCUCUGGUUCUGGGUGCAUCACCCGAGAACCACA
Myotis davidii is the source of this 75-nucleotide non-coding RNA. NCBI's taxonomy places the organism in Eukaryota, Metazoa, Chordata, Mammalia, Chiroptera, Vespertilionidae. The record is from Rfam.